ACAACUUUCAGCGAUCGAUGUUUCGGCUCGAGCUCAGAUGAAGGGCGCAGCAAACUGCGAUAAGCAUUGUGAAUUGCAGGAUUCCGUGAACCAACCGAAACCUGAACGUAGAAUACGCUCUCGGGUUAUUCUUGAGAGCGUGCCUGCCUCAGUGUCCUU
This 159-nucleotide ribosomal RNA is filed under the name Amyloodinium ocellatum. RNAcentral describes it as "5.8S ribosomal RNA". It matches the Rfam family "5.8S ribosomal RNA". Rfam says of the family: 5.8S ribosomal RNA (5.8S rRNA) is a component of the large subunit of the eukaryotic ribosome. It is transcribed by RNA polymerase I as part of the 45S precursor that also contains 18S and 28S rRNA. Lineage: Eukaryota; Dinophyceae; Thoracosphaerales; Thoracosphaeraceae. The record is from RNAcentral.